This 233-nucleotide unclassified non-coding RNA is filed under the name Glomeraceae sp. RNAcentral's name for it is "partial contains 5.8S ribosomal RNA and internal transcribed spacer 2". The stretch from base 1 to 71 matches the Rfam family "5.8S ribosomal RNA", at positions 84 to 154 of the family's 154-position model. The record is from RNAcentral. Lineage: Eukaryota; Fungi; Glomeromycota; Glomeromycetes; Glomerales; Glomeraceae.
GUGAAUCAUCGAAUUUUUGAACGCAAAUUGCACUCUCUGGUAUUCCGGAGAGUAUGCCUGUUUGAGGGUCAGUUUAAAUAAAAAUCGGUGUGGUUGCUGCCUUUCGUGGUGACGCACCGGAUUUGGGUCGUCUUGCCUUCGGUUAAGUGACCUAAAAUUUUGCAUGAUUUUUUUCGAACGUAUUUAAAUGAUUUUCCGACGGUUUGCGUAUCCGAUUAUUAGGUUUGUUCACC